This 468-nucleotide ribosomal RNA is filed under the name uncultured bacterium. RNAcentral describes it as "partial 16S ribosomal RNA". It matches the Rfam family "Bacterial small subunit ribosomal RNA", at positions 28 to 507 of the family's 1533-position model. The record is from RNAcentral.
GACGAACGCUGGCGGCGUGCUUAACACAUGCAAGUCGAACGGAAAGGCCCUGCUUUUGUGGGGUGCUCGAGUGGCGAACGGGUGAGUAACACGAGAGUAACCUGCCCUUGACUUUGGGAUAACUUAAGGAAACUGGGGCUAAUACCGGAUAGGAGCUCCUGCUGCAUGGUGGGGGUUGGAAAGUUUCGGCGGUUGGGGAUGGACUGGCGGCGUAUCAGCUUGUUGGUGGGGUGGUGGCUUACCAAGGCUUUGACGGGUAGCCGGCCUGAGAGGGUGACCGGCCACAUUGGGACUGAGAUAGGGCCCAGACUCCUACGGGAGGCAGCAGUGGGGAAUAUUGCACAAUGGGCGGAAGCGUGAUGCAGCAACGCCGCGUGCGGGAUGAAGGCCUUCGGGUUGUAAACCGCUUUCGCCUGUGACGAAGCGUGAGUGACGGUAAUGGGUAAAGAAGCACCGGCUAACUACGUG